AUUGAACGCUGGCGGCAUGCCUUACACAUGCAAGUCGAACGGCAGCACGGGAGCUUGCUCCUGGUGGCGAGUGGCGAACGGGUGAGUAAUACAUCGGAACGUACCCUGAAGUGGGGGAUAACGUAGCGAAAGUUACGCUAAUACCGCAUAUUCUGUGAGCAGGAAAGAGGGGGAUCGCAAGACCACUUGCUUUAGGAGCGGCCGAUGUCGGAUUAGCUAGUUGGUGAGGUAAAGGCUCACCAAGGCGACGAUCCGUAGCGGGUCUGAGAGGAUGAUCCGCCACACUGGGACUGAGACACGGCCCAGACUCCUACGGGAGGCAGCAGUGGGGAAUUUUGGACAAUGGGCGCAAGCCUGAUCCAGCCAUGCCGCGUGAGUGAAGAAGGCCUUCGGGUUGG
RNAcentral lists this ribosomal RNA (398 nucleotides) under uncultured bacterium. RNAcentral describes it as "bacterial SSU rRNA". It matches the Rfam family "Bacterial small subunit ribosomal RNA", at positions 30 to 426 of the family's 1533-position model. The record is from RNAcentral.